RNAcentral lists this ribosomal RNA (750 nucleotides) under uncultured bacterium. RNAcentral's name for it is "bacterial SSU rRNA". It matches the Rfam family "Bacterial small subunit ribosomal RNA", at positions 47 to 794 of the family's 1533-position model. The record is from RNAcentral.
CGCAUUACAUGCAGUCGAGCGAGAAUUUAUGGACGAUAUCUCCAUUGAGUUUGUGGAUGGAAAGCGGCGGACGGCUGAUUAACGCGUAGGUAACCUGCCCCACUACAGAAGGAUAGCCACUGGAAACGGUGAUUAGUACCUCAUAAAACUGAGAAUACACCUGUAUGCUCAUCCUUUCAUUUAUCGGUAUGGGAUGGACCUGCCUCUGAUUAUUUACUUGGUGAGGUAACGGCUCACCAACGCGACGAUCAUUAGCCGACCUGAUAGGGUGAUCGGCCGCCUUGUAACUGAUACACAGUCCAUACUCCUACUGGAGGCAGCAGUGGGGAAUAUCACACAAUGGGCGAAAACCUGAUGCUGCAACGCCGCGUGAACGAUGAAGGCUCUUGGGUCUUAGAGUUCUGUUCUGAGGGAAGAAGAUAGUGACGGUACCUCACGAGAAAGCCCCGGCUAACUACGUGCCAGCAGCCGCGGUAAUACGUAGGGGGCAAGCGUUGUCCGGAAUUAUUGGGCGUAAAGAGUACGUAGGCGGUUUGUUAAGCUGCAAGUGAAAGGCAUAGGCUCCACCUCUGUGAUCCUUGCGAACUGUGCACACUUGAGUGCGCGAGAGGAAAGCGUGAAUUCUUAUUGUAUCGGUGAAAUGCGUAUAUAUUAUGAGGAACACCGGUGUGCGAAAGCGGCUUUCUGGACUGAGACUGACACUGAGGUACUAAAGCGUGUGGAGCACACACGAUUAUAUACCCUGUGAUU